This 435-nucleotide ribosomal RNA is filed under the name uncultured bacterium. RNAcentral's name for it is "partial 16S ribosomal RNA". It matches the Rfam family "Bacterial small subunit ribosomal RNA", at positions 29 to 507 of the family's 1533-position model. The record is from RNAcentral.
AGCGAACGCUGGCGGCAGGCUUAACACAUGCAAGUCGAGCGGGCACUUUCGGGUGUCAGCGGCGGACGGGUGAGUAACGCGUGGGAACGUGCCCUCUGGUUCGGAAUAACUCAGGGAAACUUGAGCUAAUACCGGAUACGCCCUUUUGGGGAAAAGCUUGCUGCCGGAGGAUCGGCCCGCGUCUGAUUAGCUAGUUGGUGAGGUAACGGCUCACCAAGGCGACGAUCAGUAGCUGGUCUGAGAGGAUGAUCAGCCACACUGGGACUGAGACACGGCCCAGACUCCUACGGGAGGCAGCAGUGGGGAAUAUUGGACAAUGGGCGCAAGCCUGAUCCAGCCAUGCCGCGUGAGUGAUGAAGGCCUUAGGGUUGUAAAGCUCUUUUAUCCGGGACGAUAAUGACGGUACCGGAGGAAUAAGCCCCGGCUAACUUCGUG